GACAGAGGGGGCAAGCGUUGCUCGGAAUUACUGGGCGUAAAGGGCGCGUAGGCGGGAUGGCAAGUCGGUCGUGAAAUCCCUCGGCUCAACUGAGGAUCGUCGAUCGAUACUGCCGUUCUUGAGGAUUGCAGAGGAGACUGGAAUUCCCGGUGUAGCGGUGAAAUGUGUAGAGAUCGGGAGGAACACCGGUGGCGAAGGCGGGUUGCUGGGCCGACACUGACGCUGAUGCGCGAAAGCCAGGGGAGCGAACGGG
Molecule: ribosomal RNA, 253 nt
Filed under: uncultured bacterium
Lineage: Bacteria
Description: partial 16S ribosomal RNA
Rfam family: Bacterial small subunit ribosomal RNA
Source: RNAcentral